RNAcentral lists this transfer RNA (71 nucleotides) under Dorymyrmex brunneus. RNAcentral describes it as "tRNA-Glu". Lineage: Eukaryota; Metazoa; Arthropoda; Insecta; Hymenoptera; Formicidae. The record is from RNAcentral.
UAUAUUUUAAUGUAUAUGAAGCAUAAUAAGUUUUGAAAUUAUUAGAAAAAGUUUAAAUCUUUUAAAUAUAG